GCCUGGUGAUUACCUAAUCUGAGUACUUUGUUGCUCAGAAUUUUUAAUCUAAAUAAAUAAUAAUUAGAUCUAAAAAUAAACUAAUUUAGAUCUAAUAUAAAUCAUAAAUAAUCAAAUUUAAUAAUAAAAAAUUUAAUUUAAAAUCAUAUUAAUUCAUAUCAAAACAAUCUGGCUCUGAUACUAGUUGAAGAAAAAUUAUGGUAGUGCAGUGCAUGCA
Molecule: long non-coding RNA, 217 nt
Filed under: Elaeis guineensis (African oil palm)
Lineage: Eukaryota; Viridiplantae; Streptophyta; Magnoliopsida; Arecales; Arecaceae
Description: long non-coding RNA (EGUI_LNC032155)
Source: RNAcentral